AGGUCUUACUUUCGGGGGAGGCCUUACAUUUAGCAAUUCAGCAAAACCUCUACUAGGUCUUAUUUUCUGGGGAUGUCUUAUUUUCGGGGAAACAGGGUAGUUGCCGGGAGGUGGAGAAGAGGAAGACUCUGGGUGUGCCUUUUUGGAGGCGGCCCUCCUUCUUGAGGCCGCUUGUUUCCCGCCGGGCGGGUGAGGCGAGGGGACCUGGGCGCCCCACUUCCGGCGUUGCCGGGGAGCCGCGGGGGAUGCGGCCGGGAAGAGGCAUCGUCGGAGGCGGGAGGCAUGGCGCGGGCCUGAGGGGGCCGCGGAGGAGCCCCAUCCCAGGGCUUGCCCGGCAGCAGCAUUGAGGGCGGCGCCGUCGCCGUCUCCUGCCUAGCGGCGCCCGCCUUGCCCGGCUCGCCUUCCCCUCCUCCUCCUGCUGCUCCCUCCUCGCCGUUGUCCCCAAGACGGAGGAGGAAGGCGGAGGAGGAGGAGGAGGAGGAGGAGGGGGGGAAGGCGACGACGACGAGGGAGGCCAGGAGGAGGAGGAGGAGGAGGAAGAGGAGGCGGAGGAGGAGGAAGGCCAGGGGGAAGAUGAAGCUCCUGAAGCCCGCCUGGGUCAACCACAACGGAUCUGGGUCAUAUCAGAGAAGGUGAAUCAUCGGGAAAUCUUAUCUGCAGCCAUAGAUCAGGGAAGGCGGGGAGUGGUGCACCAAAGCUGAUGCUUCCUGUGUUCCUCACAUAGAGUCGGAUUAGGUGCAGCAAUAAUAAUAAUAAUAAUAAUAAUAAUAAUAAUAAUAAUAAUAAUCCCGCGAUCGGAUGCCGCCUUGUCGUUGGCGGAGUCUUAACAUGAUAUGAGGCCUGAGGCCUAACUGUGCCUGUCCCCUGGGCUGUGUAGGUUGCUAGGAGACCAAGUGGGCGGAGCUUAGCCCUCUAACUGGCAGCAAUUGGAUAAAACCAAUUAUUCCUUUCCCUCUAAUUAGGACUUUAUUUUUCUUUUCUUUUUGUUGUAUCAACCUAGAGCUGUGGAUGAUGGGUUGUGUUGUCAAAUUUUGAGGUUGGGUGGCCUGUCGUUUUGUUGUUUUGUCUGCUGCCCUGAUGCCAUCACUCUUUUAUAUAUAUACACUAGCUGUGCCCGGCCACGCGUUGCUGUGGCGUUGUCUGGUGGUGUUGGUGAGAAAUUGUUGAGGUAGUGGUGGUAUUGAAUGUCUGUUGUAUGGUUGUCUUUAUGUUUAGUAUGCACACCGAAGUGGAUUAUACGGCAGUGUGGAGUCAAGAUAAUCCAGUUCAAAGCAGAUAAUAUAAGAUUAUAAAUGGGUUAUAUAGCUGUGUGGAAGGGCCUUGAGUCUACACUGCCAUAUAAUCCAGUUAAAAUCUGAUAAUCUGUGGAAGAGGCCUAAGUGAGGCCUAACUGUGCCUGUCCCCUGGCCUGAGUAGGUUGCUAGGAGACCAAGUAGGCGGAGCUUAGCCCUCUAACUGGCAGCAAUUGGAUAAAAGCAAUUAUUCCUUUCCCUCUAAUUAGGAGUUUAUUUUUCUUUUCUUUUUGUUGUAUCAACCUAGAGCCAUGGAUGAUGGGUUGUGUUGUCAAAUUUAGAGGUUGGGGGGGCCUGUAGUUUUGUUGUUUUGUCCAUUGCCCUGAUGCCAUCACUCUUUUAUAUAUAUAGAUAGUUGACAGCGAGUAAAAUUCUGCAAAUACUUCCGCU
Molecule: long non-coding RNA, 1682 nt
Filed under: Anolis carolinensis (green anole)
Lineage: Eukaryota; Metazoa; Chordata; Lepidosauria; Squamata; Anolidae
Description: lncRNA (ENSACAG00000042629.1)
Source: RNAcentral